CAUGGCACAAUGAGGAAUAUAUAUUAUUAACAAUCUGUUUGAUUGACAUAUUAUUAGUCCUUUUCAUUCUGAGUGCCCA
This is a small nucleolar RNA of Dendrobium catenatum, 79 nucleotides long. RefSeq annotates it as small nucleolar RNA Z162. The transcript has a single exon. NCBI's taxonomy places the organism in Eukaryota, Viridiplantae, Streptophyta, Magnoliopsida, Asparagales, Orchidaceae. The record is from RefSeq and is a predicted model, not a curated record.